UACGUAGGGUGCAAGCGUUAAUCGGAAUUACUGGGCGUAAAGCGUGCGCAGGCGGUUCGGAAAGAAAGAUGUGAAAUCCCAGGGCUUAACCUUGGAACUGCAUUUUUAACUGCCGGGCUAGAGUAUGUCAGAGGGGGGUAGAAUUCCACGUGUAGCAGUGAAAUGCGUAGAGAUCUGGAGGAACACCGAUGGCGAAGGCAGCCUCCUGGGCUAGUACUGACGCUCAUGCACGAAAGCGUGGGGAGCAAACAGG
Molecule: ribosomal RNA, 253 nt
Filed under: uncultured bacterium
Lineage: Bacteria
Description: partial 16S ribosomal RNA
Rfam family: Bacterial small subunit ribosomal RNA
Source: RNAcentral